UACAGAGGUCUCAAGCGUUGUUCGGAUUCAUUGGGCGUAAAGGGUGCGUAGGCGGUGUGGUAAGUCGAGUGUGAAAUCUCGGGGCUCAACCCCGAAACUGCACUCGAUACUGCCAUGCUUGAGGAUUGUAGAGGAGAUCGGAAUUCACGGUGUAGCAGUGAAAUGCGUAGAUAUCGUGAGGAAGACCAGUUGCGAAAGCGGAUCUCUGGGCAACUCCUGACGCUGAGGCACGAAGGCUAGGGGAGCAAACGGG
This 253-nucleotide ribosomal RNA is filed under the name uncultured Candidatus Xiphinematobacter sp. RNAcentral's name for it is "partial 16S ribosomal RNA". It matches the Rfam family "Bacterial small subunit ribosomal RNA", at positions 524 to 776 of the family's 1533-position model. Lineage: Bacteria; Pseudomonadati; Verrucomicrobiota; Spartobacteria. The record is from RNAcentral.